Molecule: long non-coding RNA, 1708 nt
Filed under: Androctonus crassicauda
Lineage: Eukaryota; Metazoa; Arthropoda; Arachnida; Scorpiones; Buthidae
Source: RNAcentral
AUUCAUUAUUAUGAGGAUCAUUCAUGAAAAAAUUGGGAAUUUACUUCAGUAAGUGCCUACUGUUUGUACUUUUAUAUCAAACAUGUGGUGUUUACAAUCAUAUAUAUUCACAUUAAUGUUCUUGCAGCAUUACUUGUUGUCAUGAAAACCACGUUGGUUGUUAUUUAAGAUGGUAGAUGAUGAACCCAAUGAAAUUCUUGUUCAGCAUAUUAUUAUUCAUUUUCUGUGAAUAUGCUAAACUUGUUGAAGUUUUGUGAAGACUAACAGUGUACUUUGGAGAAUAAACUCUGAAGAAGACAUGGGUAUAUGAAUGAUGUGCAUAGUUUAAAAAAAGAUGUGAAUUGACAUAGGUAUACAAAAAGUGUGAAUCUGUUGUGAAAAGUUUAUUUAAAGAAAAGUGUGUGACAGUGCUGAAAGAAGAGACUCAGAUGGCACAGUAAUGAAUGAUAUCAAUAUUCAAUAUAAAAAGAACCUCAUCUUGAGCAAUAGAUGAGUAAUUGUUUAUUAAAUAGUAAAAAAAUAUUCAUAAGUAUUGAAAGCUGUUGAAGAAAUUAAAUUUAGUGUGCAUCUACUGAUGGUGCUCCAAUCAUCCUGCAUAUAAGGGGGACAACUGAUGUCCUUCCCUUCUCUUGUUCCUUUUGGUUGCCAUGUCUGUUUGUGUUAUAUAAGUUAGGUUUUUAUUGUGAGACAUGAGACAAUUAACUUAUCUUGAAAGAAAACAUUACUCUUACUUUAUUUAUGUCUGUUAUCUUUACAUUUAAUAAAUCACCACACCACUGCAAACAUGAUACUUAACAGGUUGUGGGCUCAGGAGAAUGCACUUGGUAACAAGACUUAGUACUACUUAAAUGCACUUGGUAACAAGACUUAGAUUAAAAUACUCAAGAUAAAUUUUUUUGUUAUUGUGGAUAUAUUUAAGAAAUAGUUAACCAGAUUGAUUUAUGAAGCAUAUUUAAAUUUGAUGGAUCAAAUUUCCAAGUAUGAAAGUUACAAACUCAAACUGUUCUAGUUAUAAACAGAUUGUUAGAAGUUGUUAAUGGUUUAGAACUGCAACCUGGAAAUGAUGCUUCUGAAGUGACAAAGAAGUUAUGGACUAAAAAUAAUACAAAAGUAAUGUUCAUAUUAUCAUCAUUGAUUCAUUCCCAAUUAGAAUAUUUGAUUACUUGUGAUCAGCAAAAAUCAUUUGAGAUAAAUUGUGCUCUGUUCAUGAACAAAAGAGCAAAACAAAUAAGUUAAUAUUAAUGACCAAGUUUCAUGAAUAUUGAAUGUCAUCUAGUGACAAUCAUACAGCAUAUAGCUAAAGUUGAAAAUAUUGCAAUUCACUUAAGAGAUGUUGGAAAGAAGAUUUCAGAAAUAAUAAUAAUGGCAAAAAUUUUAGGGAGCUUACUGUCUAAGUUUGAUGUAUUUAUUACCACCUGGACAGAGUUGAUCCAGAAAGACAAAUAUUUGAAAGUCUAACUUCACAAUUAAUUAAAGAGGAAAUGAGAAUGACUGCAACUGAAGAAAUAGCAAAUGCACUUUCCACAACUAGUAUUAAUACAGCAAAAUUGUUAUUUCAUUGUCAUUUUUAAAGAUCACAAGUCUGGAUUUAGAUCUAUAUACUUCACAAAACAUAAAUCCAAUGUUUUUGAUGUAUUUAAAGUAUAUCACUAUAUGGUUGACUUGUUGCAGUAUUUGAGUCCAUUAUCAAUACACAUUACUUGUAUCA